GGAGCCGUGGUCGAGCGGUGAGGCGGGAGUCUGCAAAACUCUUCACGGCGGUUCAAAUCCGCCCGGCUCCU
RNAcentral lists this transfer RNA (71 nucleotides) under Ignavibacteria bacterium. RNAcentral's name for it is "tRNA-Cys". It matches the Rfam family "tRNA". From Rfam's summary of the family: Transfer RNA (tRNA) molecules are approximately 80 nucleotides in length. Their secondary structure includes four short double-helical elements and three loops (D, anti-codon, and T loops). Further hydrogen bonds mediate the characteristic L-shaped molecular structure. tRNAs have two regions of fundamental functional importance: the anti-codon, which is responsible for specific mRNA codon recognition, and the 3' end, to which the tRNAs corresponding amino acid is attached (by aminoacyl-tRNA synthetases). tRNAs cope with the degeneracy of the genetic code in two manners: having more than one tRNA (with a specific anti-codon) for a particular amino acid; and 'wobble' base-pairing, i.e. permitting non-standard base-pairing at the 3rd anti-codon position. The record is from RNAcentral. Lineage: Bacteria; Pseudomonadati; Ignavibacteriota; Ignavibacteria.